GUUAACGCUGGCAGUGUGUAUAACACAUGCAAGUCGAGCGCAUGCCGUAGCAAUACGGUAUGAGCGGCAGACGGGUGAGUAACACGUUGGGAUCUUCCCCGAAGUGAGGAAUAACCCGCCGAAAGGCGGGCUAAUACCGCAUGUGGUCGCAAGACUAAAGCCUCACGGCGCUUCGGGAGGAACCUGCGCAAUAUCAGCUUGUUGGUGAGGUAACGGCUCACCAAGGCUAUGACGUUUAGCUGGUCUGAGAGGAUGAUCAGCCACAAUGGAACUGAGACACGGUCCAUACUCCUACGGGAGGCAGCAGUGAAGAAUCUUCCGCAAUGGGCGCAAGCCUGACGGAGCAACACUGCGUGGAGGACGAAGGCCUUCGGGUCGUAAACUCCUUUUCUGGGGGACGAAGUUCUGACGGUACCCCAGGAAUAAGAGACGGCAAACUACGU
RNAcentral lists this ribosomal RNA (443 nucleotides) under uncultured bacterium. Its description in RNAcentral is "bacterial SSU rRNA". It matches the Rfam family "Bacterial small subunit ribosomal RNA", at positions 29 to 506 of the family's 1533-position model. The record is from RNAcentral.